Rhinopithecus bieti (black snub-nosed monkey) is the source of this 120-nucleotide ribosomal RNA. Lineage: Eukaryota; Metazoa; Chordata; Mammalia; Primates; Cercopithecidae. The record is from Ensembl.
GUCUACAGCCAUACCACCCUGAAUGUGUGAGAUCUCCUCUGAUCUCGUGAAGCUAAGCAGGGUCGGGCCUUGUUAAUACUUGGAUGGGAGACCACCUGCGAAUACUGGGUGCUGUAGAAU